Molecule: non-coding RNA, 138 nt
Organism: Arachis ipaensis
Lineage: Eukaryota; Viridiplantae; Streptophyta; Magnoliopsida; Fabales; Fabaceae
Source: RefSeq, a predicted model, not a curated record
AGCAAUGAGUUUGAAACCAUUUUCAAGUUGGACCACAAAGCUCAUUUAGAGGGGGGUAAAUGCCACUUCUUGUCUCUAACACCCGGACAUGAUGUAGAAAAUAUGGUGGUCUCCACAAUGUGUAUGAUUCUUAACAAC